GAGGGUAUAGCUCGGUGGUAGAGAGCGUGCUUAGGGUGCGUAAGAUCCUGGGUUCAAUCCCUGGUACCUCCA
This 72-nucleotide transfer RNA is filed under the name Camelus bactrianus (Bactrian camel). It matches the Rfam family "tRNA". Rfam says of the family: Transfer RNA (tRNA) molecules are approximately 80 nucleotides in length. Their secondary structure includes four short double-helical elements and three loops (D, anti-codon, and T loops). Further hydrogen bonds mediate the characteristic L-shaped molecular structure. tRNAs have two regions of fundamental functional importance: the anti-codon, which is responsible for specific mRNA codon recognition, and the 3' end, to which the tRNAs corresponding amino acid is attached (by aminoacyl-tRNA synthetases). tRNAs cope with the degeneracy of the genetic code in two manners: having more than one tRNA (with a specific anti-codon) for a particular amino acid; and 'wobble' base-pairing, i.e. permitting non-standard base-pairing at the 3rd anti-codon position. RNAcentral also lists the same sequence under 1 other name. The record is from Rfam by way of RNAcentral. Lineage: Eukaryota; Metazoa; Chordata; Mammalia; Artiodactyla; Camelidae.